CCCAUCGCCGAUCGCCUUGAGUUGAUCAUGGCUCAGAAUCAACGCUGGCGGCGUGCCUAACACAUGCAAGUCGAACGCGGUGUUCCCGCAAGGGAACACUGAGUGGCGAACGGGUGAGUAACACGUGGGUGACCUACCUUCGAGUGGGGGAUAACGUUCCGAAAGGAACGCUAAUACCGCAUAACAUCCUGCCUUUGAACAGGCGGAGAUCAAAGCCGGGGAUCGCAAGACCUGGCGCUUGAUGAGGGGCCCGCGUCCGAUUAGCUAGUUGGUGAGGUAAUGGCUCACCAAGGCGACGAUCGGUAACCGGCCUGAGAGGGCGGACGGUCACACUGGGACUGAGACACGGCCCAGACUCCUACGGGAGGCAGCAGUGGGGAAUUGUUCGCAAUGGGCGCAAGCCUGACGACGCAACGCCGCGUGGAGGAUGACGGUCUUCGGAUUGUAAACUCCUGUUGCUCGGGACGAAUAGCGCCGACCUAAUACGUCGGCGUGUGACGGUACCGAGUGAGGAAGCCCCGGCUAACUCUGUGCCAGCAGCCGCGGUAAUACAGAGGGGGCAAGCGUUGUUCGGAAUUACUGGGCGUAAAGGGCGCGUAGGCGGCCUGUUAAGUCGAACGUGAAAUCCCCGGGCUCAACCCGGGAACUGCGUCCGAAACUGGCAGGCUUGAAUUCGGGAGAGGGAUGCGGAAUUCCAGGUGUAGCGGUGAAAUGCGUAGAUAUCUGGAGGAACACGGUGGCGAAGCGGCAUCCUGGACGAGAUGACGCUGAGCGCGAAGCCAGG
RNAcentral lists this ribosomal RNA (784 nucleotides) under uncultured bacterium. RNAcentral's name for it is "bacterial SSU rRNA". It matches the Rfam family "Bacterial small subunit ribosomal RNA", at positions 1 to 764 of the family's 1533-position model. The record is from RNAcentral.